Callithrix jacchus (white-tufted-ear marmoset) is the source of this 1107-nucleotide non-coding RNA. The record is from RefSeq and is a predicted model, not a curated record. NCBI's taxonomy places the organism in Eukaryota, Metazoa, Chordata, Mammalia, Primates, Cebidae.
UUGGGGAGGAAAGAGACCAUAGCCAGGACACAUGGUCAGAUGAGGCCUUCACAAGCCAAUUGCUGAAAUCAUGAAAUUAAAAGCCAUUGAUUUAAUUAGGUCACCUCAGCACUUUGAUCAGGGAGACCAUUUACCAAGUGUGAAGUUGCUUGAUAUUUGGCUAUUACAACAGAAGGAAGAAAAGAAGGAUCAAUAGUUGAAGAAGCACUCAUGGAUAUGCACAGAGACCAAGCACUUAAUGAGCAGUGCUGUGUUUUCUUCCUAUGAAAAGAAAAAAGAAAAGACUCCAGAUGGAGAGCCUCAAAUUGUCGGCAGAUUUUUUGAAAUUCCCCUGGAAUUUGUAUUGGUGAUGCAGAGCUUGGUGCAGACUGACAAUUUUCAGGAGGCCCCAGGGCAUGUCACAGUUCACUCUUCAGUGAAUAACCCCAUGGAGGGCAGGGCAGACCAAAUAAGAAAAGAAACGAAAUGAAGAUGGGCACUGCAUCUGUAAUGGGAUAAGUCGACCAGUCCCCUUUUCUUCUCCUUUUGGUUCUUCAGUACCUUCAAAGGGAGCCAUAAUAAAGCACAAACAGAAUCAGCUUUCAAAAGCUCCCUGGCUUCCCAUCUGCUGCUGUGGGCUUCCUGUGGGAAACAGGGAACCACUGGCCUGUGGGAGAGGAAUCAACUAUUUCCCAAAGCCACUGGAAGAGCACUUUUCAAAGUAUGCAGUUGUGAUUCAUUAAACAACGCUGGACUCUAGGUGACCGACAUGAUUCCUGGGGGCAGCUGCACACAAGUUUGUAGAAAGUGAAGAAGGUAACACCAAUGUUGUGGCUCAUGCGUGUAAUCUCAGUGCUUUGGGAGAUGAAGAUGGAAGAUCACUUGAGGCCAGAGUUCAGGAACAGCCUAGGUAACAUAGCAAGAUCCACCCUCUGCCUUCCCACCCCCAUCUCUACAAAAACUUUCAAAAAUUAGCUGGGCAUGGUGGCACACACCUGUAGUCUCAGUUACCCAGAAGGCUGAAGUGAGAAGAUCACUUGGGCAAAGGAGUUCAAGAUUAGAGUGAACUAUAAUUGAGCCACUGCACUCUAGUCUGGGCAGCAAAGUGAGACUCUCGCUCUAAAAUAA